UACGUAGGGGGGCAAGCGUUUGUCCGGAUUUAUUGGGCGUAAAGAGCGUGUAGGCGGUCUGGUAGGUCCGUUGUGAAAACUCGAGCUCAACCUCGAGACGCCGAUGGAAACCCUCAGACUAGAGUCCGGAAGAGGAGAGUGGAAUUCCCGGUGUAGUGGUGAAAUGCGUAGAUAUCGGGAGGAACACCAGUGGCGAAGGCGACUACCUGGCCUGUUCUUGACGCUGAGGCGCGAAAGCUAGGGGAGCAAACGGG
Molecule: ribosomal RNA, 254 nt
Filed under: uncultured bacterium
Lineage: Bacteria
Description: partial 16S ribosomal RNA
Rfam family: Bacterial small subunit ribosomal RNA
Source: RNAcentral